CGGGGGAGGUGGGUGGGGCCGGGGUAAGACGGAGGGGCCUAGCGUUGUUCGGAUUGAGUGGGGGUAAGGAGCUCGUAGGCGGUUCGGCAAGUGGGAUGUGAAAUCUCCACGCUUAACGUGGAGGGGCCAUUCGAAACUGCCGUGGCUCGAGUCCGGUAGGGGAGUGUGGAAUUCCCGGUGUAGCGGUGAAAUGCGCAGAUAUCGGGAGGAACACCAGUAGCGAAGGCGGCACUCUGGGCCGGUACUGACGCUGAGGAGCGAAAGCGUGGGGAGCGAACAGGAUUAGAUACCCUUGUAGUC
Molecule: ribosomal RNA, 300 nt
Filed under: uncultured Shimia sp.
Lineage: Bacteria; Pseudomonadati; Pseudomonadota; Alphaproteobacteria; Rhodobacterales; Roseobacteraceae
Description: bacterial SSU rRNA
Rfam family: Bacterial small subunit ribosomal RNA (bases 51-300)
Source: RNAcentral